RNAcentral lists this vault RNA (108 nucleotides) under Salarias fasciatus (jewelled blenny). RNAcentral describes it as "Vault RNA (ENSSFAG00005025061.1)". It matches the Rfam family "Vault RNA". Rfam says of the family: This family of RNAs are found as part of the enigmatic vault ribonucleoprotein complex. The complex consists of a major vault protein (MVP), two minor vault proteins (VPARP and TEP1), and several small untranslated RNA molecules. It has been suggested that the vault complex is involved in drug resistance. The record is from Rfam by way of RNAcentral. Lineage: Eukaryota; Metazoa; Chordata; Actinopteri; Blenniiformes; Blenniidae.
GCACUGGUUUAGCUCAGUGGUUACUUCCUCUGGAAUUUCAUCUUCCUGAUGAUCCACAGUGCUUUCCUCAUCUGAGGGAUCAAACCAUGAGUGCUGCUCAGUGUUUUU